Molecule: long non-coding RNA, 1538 nt
Filed under: Macaca fascicularis (crab-eating macaque)
Lineage: Eukaryota; Metazoa; Chordata; Mammalia; Primates; Cercopithecidae
Description: lncRNA (ENSMFAG00000048142.1)
Source: RNAcentral
UACAGGCGUGUGCCAACACGCCCUGCUAAUUUUUUGUAUUUUUAGUAAAGACAGGGUUUCACCAUGUUGCCUAGGCUGGUCUCGAACUCCUGAGCUCAAGCGAUCCGCCUGCCUUGGCCUCCCAAAAUGCUGGGAUUACAGGUGUGAGCCACUGCACUGAGCCAAUGCUUCUCAUUUAUAGAAUCCACCCCGUAACACUCCUGGCGACAGAAUCUUAGACAAAGAGUAGUUGCCAGAAUUCCAGCCCCUGAAAUACACGGGAAAACAAGAUGCAGACAGGCUAACAGAUAAUCCAACGCAUUCAACAAGGUGACAAAUGGCAUUGUUGGCCACAGGGUUUGAAACAUGCUUGAAGGAGGAACUGGAAGUGUUUGGGGCCAUGGUAGAAAUCCAACUCCAUUCCAGACGUCCAACACAGCUUCCUUGUUCCAUGAGGUCAUUGCCUCCCAGUGUCUCUUUGGUCGUGUUCCUCCCCACAAAGCAAUAAAAGUUGGAUGACAAAGUUGAGCCCUGGUGAAUGAAGGCUAUAUUAAAAAGUAAAGAAUGGAGAAUUGUUGGUAAUAAAAGGAAAUGAGCAGGACGGUCCACUGUGGCUCACGCCUGUAAUCCCAGCACUUUGAGAGGCUGAGACAGGAGGAUUGCUUGAGCCCAGGAGUUUUGAGACCAGCCUGGGCAAUGUAGUGAGACCCCAUCUCUACAAGCAGUAAAAAAUAUACUAGCCAGGCAUGGUGGUGUGCACCUGUGAUCCCGGCUACUCUGGAGGCUGAGGAUGGCUUGAGCCCAAGAGUUUGUAGCUGCAGUGAGCUAUGACUGCCCCACUGCAUUCCAGCCUGGAUGACAGUGAAACCUCAUCUCAGGAAACAAACAAAAAAAAGAAUGGCCGGGCUUGGUGGCUCACACCUGUAAUCCUAGCACUUUGGGAGGCCAAGGUGGGCAGAUCACCUGAGGUCAGGAGUUUGAGACUAGCCUGGCCAAAAUGGUGAAACCCGUCUCUACUAAAAAUACAAAAAAAUUAGCCAGGCAUAGUGGCACACACCUGUAGUCCUAGCUACUCGGGAGGCUGAGGCAGGAGAAUCACUUGAACCCAGGAGGCGGAGGUUGCAGUGAGCUGAGAUUGCACCACUGCACUCCAGCAUGGGCGACAGAGUGAGACUCCGUCUCAAAAAAAGAAAAAAGAAAAAGAAAUGAGGUAUGAGCUAGGCAAAGGCACGGAAGAAUCUGAAACGAGUAUUGCUAAAUGAAAAAAGCCAAUCUCGGCCGGAUGCGGUGGCUCACGCCUGUAAUCCCAGCACUUUGGGAGGCACGAGGUCAGGAGAUUGAGACCAUCCUGGCUAACACAGUGAAACCCCGUCUCUACUAAAAAUACAAAAAAAUUAGCCAGGCGUGGUGGCUGGCGCCUGUAGUCCCAGCUACUCAGGAGGCUAAGGCAGGAGAAUGGCGUGAACCCGGGUGGUGGAGCUUGCAGUGAGCCUAGAUCGCGCCACUGCACUCCAGCCCAGGCGACAGAACAAGAAUCCAUCUGAAAAAAAAAAAAAAAA